This is a long non-coding RNA of Silurus meridionalis, 1439 nucleotides long. RefSeq lists it as uncharacterized. NCBI's taxonomy places the organism in Eukaryota, Metazoa, Chordata, Actinopteri, Siluriformes, Siluridae. The transcript is spliced from 4 exons. The record is from RefSeq and is a predicted model, not a curated record.
CUCUGACCAAAUUGCCAAUCACAGUUGGAGUGCCUCGAGUGUAUAAGUGUGUGUUUUUCCUGACAGGAGUUUAGAGAUUAGACUCGAUCUACAAGACAUCUUAGUCAUCCUGUACAGCAUGGAUGGUGCUCUAAAGAUUUUGCUUCUGGCAACCCUGAUCCUGCUGGUUUCUGCUCAGACUUUUGGUAACUAUAGAAGCUUGUCUAAUGACUUACGAACACAGAUAGACAAGGCUCUGAUAAAGGCACAUCAAGAAAUUGCAAAGAAACAACAUGUUGCUUUUUUUUCACUGCAAGGAGAACCAAAGCUUCAGGAGGAUAACUUGUAUGUAAACGUCAUUCUGCAAAUCACAACAUGCCCGAAAACUUCAAACAGUCCAUAUCAGCACCGAGAUGAAUGUUUUACACGAAAAGAAAAUACACCGCUAAUUGAUUGUGUUGUAUGUACGACAAAUGAUGGUAAAGAACUGGUUGACUGUGCCUGGAGGUAUGAGGUCAUAAAUAAACGACCAGAUGCACGAAAUAAUUGUGGUAAAUAUUUAGUUGGAGGUUCUGUUGCCCUUCAGAAAUCUAAUGAUAAUAAGGAGAUUGGAUGUAUUGGAUGUUUUUAAAGUUGCACGAGUCUCAGCAGCACAAAUUCUAAACUAUAUUCUAAAACUGUAAAACACUACAUUUAUACAAGUGAAAACUGAUUUGCUUACAUGCAAAAUUGGGGUUCAAUGCCAUUCAGUGUAGUUUAUGAAGUUGUAGGCAAACUAGGUUCAGCUUUUUGAGAUCAUGUUUAGCCGUGAUUACAUACAGCAUUUAAUGAAGCACAUUACAGAGCAUUUUCUGACUUUAGGCUUUUCUUUUACUACAUUUAAAAUUAUUCUUGUGUGAUUUCCUCCCCAACCCCAAUCCACACACACUUGUUCAAGAUUACACCUAAUACAAAAGGUAUACCUAAUACAAACUAACCCACACUUUGAUCUGAUACUAAUUACUGUCAACUUGUAGUUAUAUACAGAAAAAGUAGUUUUCUCUUCUGAUCAAAAUCAACUACAUAUUCUAAAUGUGAUGCAGCAGCAGUGCUCAAAUUGGGGGCGUUAGGGACCCCCGAUGAGACUAAUGAGACCUGAUAGACUUAGGGGGGGGUCCCCAAAAUUAUUUUAUUAAAAAAAUAUGUGAAUUACACAACAACUGGGGACCCCGCAUAAAACUUGACUCAAUUCGAGCACUGUGCAGCAGCAUUUAACAACCAGUACCUGAUAACAAAAUUAACCGAUUACUCUUCAACAUAUAACUUUUGCUGCAGCACAAAAUCUGUGCAACAAGUUUGUGUAAGAAAAUAAUAUGUAUCUAGCAAUGUUGUACACAUCUUUAUACAAUCUCACUGUUUUUAACAUAAGCCAAGCUUAAUAAAAAAAUAAAAAAAUAAAAAUAUUUUAAACAAAAUGUAAA